This is a non-coding RNA of Pelobates cultripes (western spadefoot toad), 242 nucleotides long. NCBI's taxonomy places the organism in Eukaryota, Metazoa, Chordata, Amphibia, Anura, Pelobatidae. The record is from the annotation of a GenBank genome assembly.
GCAGUGACUCAUUGUAAACCUCCUCCUGUAACAGGGCAUAUGAGAUCCAUGAUGGUCAAGUGGUAAGUUCCAGCUCUCUGAUUGCUAGUUGUCAUGGCAGCACUCAGAUACUGUCAGUAAUAGUUCUGGAGCUCUUGAGAGGGAUAUGCAAGGUCUGCACCCAAUAAAGGCACAGACCAGAAGGUCUCUGGGUCCCUGUGCAGUGAGUGUACUGGGCCAUUGAGGAACAUCUUUGAGCUCCC